This is an RNA transcript of Mus caroli (Ryukyu mouse), 442 nucleotides long. It is a transcript of the gene named acidic mammalian chitinase, with no coding region annotated. NCBI's taxonomy places the organism in Eukaryota, Metazoa, Chordata, Mammalia, Rodentia, Muridae. The record is from RefSeq and is a predicted model, not a curated record.
AUCCAUUGCUUCAGAGCCUCUCUUCCAGUUCCUAUUUCCACUGUAUAGAGGAGCAUUUACUUGCUGAAGAUCUGAAACAGAGGCCAUGCAACCUGAGAAACACAGCACAGAGUGAUUAGUGCAACUUUCAUAUCUCAUCAGGGAAGAUUCUUCAUGCAAAUGCAAAUGACAGUUAUUCUAGACUCAAAACUGGUGAAAAUGCAGAGAAUAAUUCACCAUAGAGUGUUGUGCCUGAAAGGAUCACACCUCAUCUCCCAAAGGCUCAGGACAGUGAAGAGAUGUUUGUCCUUAGAAGGGCUCCCACGAGACCCAGGGUACUGCCAGUCCAGGUUCAGUCCAUCAAACCCAUACUGGCGCAGGAAUUUGAUGGCUGAGUUAAUGAAAGUCUGUUGGUUGUGUGGAGUGGAGACCAUGGCACUGAACCUGAGGGAGACCAAAAGAA